GUAGGGGGCAAGCGUUGUCCGGAUUUAUUGGGCGUAAAGAGCGUGUAGGCGGCUUCACAAGUCCGCUGUGAAAACUCGAGGCUCAACCUCGAGCUGUCGGUGGAAACUGUGUGGCUAGAGUCCGGAAGAGGAGAGUGGAAUUCCCGGUGUAGCGGUGAAAUGCGCAGAUAUCGGGAAGAACACCCGUGGCGAAGGCGGCUCUCUGGGACGGUACUGACGCUGAGGAGCGAAAGCGUGGGGAGCGAACAGGAUUAGAUACCCUGGUAGUCCACGCCGUAAACGUUGGGCACUAGGUGUGGGGCUCGAUCGACGGGCUCCGUGCCGUAGCUAACGCAUUAAGUGCCCCGCCUGGGAAGUACGGCCGCAAGGCUA
This 372-nucleotide ribosomal RNA is filed under the name uncultured bacterium. RNAcentral's name for it is "bacterial SSU rRNA". It matches the Rfam family "Bacterial small subunit ribosomal RNA", at positions 527 to 896 of the family's 1533-position model. The record is from RNAcentral.